AAAAACCCCUGUUGCAACCCCCUUGUUUCAGCGUACAAGUAUUAAUACGCUUCAACAACCAGUCGGUCAACGCGGGUCAAACCCUUUAAAGGGUUGUUGCAGCGUACAAAUUAAUUGCCCCCUACAAAAGAGAUUUUUGUAGCGUACAUAGUAAAAGCCCCCUGCAAUAGACCUUUUAUUUUGCAGCGUACAUGGUAAAAGCCCCCUGCAAUAACAUAUUUGUAAUUUUUUUCGCUGCAACUUUAACUCAGACCAAACAUUUCUACCUCAAACCUCAUGACCAAUUUCGCAGCGAAUAUCCCACUCUCAUUACUCCCUUCUUCUUCUCUCGGCUUACCCUGCGUCUCGCCGGUGGUUCUCACCAGUGGUCGUCGCCGCGUGGUCUCGCCCGUCGCCGGUGGUACUCUAGCAAGAGUCUAUUUAAUUUCCUCACCUCUCACCGGUGGUUCCCUGCUCGAAAAACCCCCGCAAAAGGUAUUCCCUGCUCGAAAAAACAACCGGCGAAGUGAUUCCCUGCUCGGAAAACUAAGCUUCUUUGCUCGGCCGGUUCGCGAACCCUGUUCUCCGUCAAUCCUCGCUGCGGCAAAGAAAGCCAAAGAAAUUGUUGGCUGACAAGAUUAGGAGAAAAUACAUACGUUUAUCUCGGAGACUUCCUCCACCCUUUUGAAGGGCGCAUAUACCAGUAAAAAACCGUACUGUUAUAAUACUCGAGACAGAUACUGGAGAACAAUACGAAGCCAAUUAUCUGCCUCAAUAUCGUGGACUCAGUGGUGGGUGGAAAAGGUUUGCCAUAGUUCUGAAAUUGGAAGGAGAUACUGUUGUUUUUCAACUAGUUGAACCUGCCAAAUUUAAGUCUACCUCUUCUAGAAUCAAAUCACUAAACUAGUUGAAGCUGAGGAUAAAAGCUGCUAAUGAAGCUGAGGCGGCUUGCCAACGGCGUCUCUCUGUUGCUGAGGCUGAAAUAACUGAUUUAAGAUCCAAAUUGGAUACUACUGAAAGCAUGGAAGGCAAGCAUUCGUUUCUGUGCCUAGCACUUUUCCUGUGCCUGGAGAAGAACUGAUGUUUUGAUGAUUGUAAGAGGGGCAAGGAGAAGCUUGUUUGUGAUGCUGCUCAAGUACUGCUUUAUUUCGGAGUUGAACAAAUCAUCUAUGUUUCUGAAAUGACGCACUGCUAAAUAAAGGUCUACACUCCGAGGAAUGCGCCUAUACUAGUGAGGAAAUUGAUGUGGUUCGUGAGCAACGGGCUAAGUGUUUUACCCGCAAGUAUUUACUAUUGGCUUGAGCGCGCUUGAUCGAGGUGGUUUAGUUGUUAUAGAACAAUCGUUUACAUUAAAAUGUAUGCGUACAUUGAAAUUGGAACGUAUAUUUGAAUGUAGUACGUGCACUUUGGUUUUGGGAUAUAUAUAUAUGUAUACAAAACACCAGUUAUUAUUUUUUAUAUUUGUUGA
This is a long non-coding RNA of Spinacia oleracea (spinach), 1447 nucleotides long. RefSeq lists it as uncharacterized. The transcript has 6 exons. NCBI's taxonomy places the organism in Eukaryota, Viridiplantae, Streptophyta, Magnoliopsida, Caryophyllales, Amaranthaceae. The record is from RefSeq and is a predicted model, not a curated record.